This 253-nucleotide ribosomal RNA is filed under the name uncultured bacterium. Its description in RNAcentral is "partial 16S ribosomal RNA". It matches the Rfam family "Bacterial small subunit ribosomal RNA", at positions 524 to 776 of the family's 1533-position model. The record is from RNAcentral.
UACGAACUGUGCAAACGUUAUUCGGAAUCACUGGGCUUAAAGGGUGCGCAGGCGGUCUGCUAAGCAGGGUGUGAAAGCCCCCGGCUCAACCGGGGAAUUGCGCCCUGAACUGGCAGGCUUGAGUGAGAUAGAGGUGUGGGGAACUUCCGGUGGGGCGGUGAAAUGUGUUGAUAUCGGAAGGAACGCCAGAGGCGAAAGCGCCACACUGGGUCUCAACUGACGCUGAGGCACGAAAGCCAGGGGAGCAAACGGG